AGAUUAAGUUAUUAAGGGCGCACGGUGGAUGCCUUGGCACUAGAAGCCGAUGAAGGACGUUACUAACGACGAUAUGCUUUGGGGAGCUGUAAGUAAGCUUUGAUCCAGAGAUUUCCGAAUGGGGAAACCCAGCAUGAGUUAUGUCAUGUUAUCGAUAUGUGAAUACAUAGCAUAUCAGAAGGCACACCCGGAGAACUGAAACAUCUUAGUACCCGGAGGAAGAGAAAGAAAAUUCGAUUCCCUUAGUAGCGGCGAGCGAAACGGGAAGAGCCCAAACCAACAAGCUUGCUUGUUGGGGUUGUAGGACACUCUAUACGGAGUUACAAAGGACGACAUUAGACGAAUCAUCUGGAAAGAUGAAUCAAAGAAGGUAAUAAUCCUGUAGUCGAAAAUGUUGUCUCUCUUGAGUGGAUCCUGAGUACGGCGGGACACGUGAAAUCCCGUCGGAAUCUGGGAGGACCAUCUCCUAAGGCUAAAUACUCUCUAGUGACCGAUAGUGAACCAGUACCGUGAGGGAAAGGUGAAAAGCACCCCGGAAGGGGAGUGAAAUAGAACCUGAAACCGUGUGCUUACAAGUAGUCAGAGCCCGUUAAUGGGUGAUGGCGUGCCUUUUGUAGAAUGAACCGGCGAGUUACGAUUUGAUGCAAGGUUAAGCAGUAAAUGUGGAGCCGUAGCGAAAGCGAGUCUGAAUAGGGCGUUUAGUAUUUGGUCGUAGACCCGAAACCAGGUGAUCUACCCUUGGUCAGGUUGAAGUUCAGGUAACACUGAAUGGAGGACCGAACCGACUUACGUUGAAAAGUGAGCGGAUGAACUGAGGGUAGCGGAGAAAUUCCAAUCGAACCUGGA
RNAcentral lists this ribosomal RNA (846 nucleotides) under Staphylococcus aureus. RNAcentral describes it as "partial 23S ribosomal RNA". It matches the Rfam family "Bacterial large subunit ribosomal RNA", at positions 1 to 843 of the family's 2925-position model. Lineage: Bacteria; Bacillati; Bacillota; Bacilli; Caryophanales; Staphylococcaceae. The record is from RNAcentral.